This 433-nucleotide ribosomal RNA is filed under the name uncultured bacterium. Its description in RNAcentral is "partial 16S ribosomal RNA". It matches the Rfam family "Bacterial small subunit ribosomal RNA", at positions 29 to 507 of the family's 1533-position model. The record is from RNAcentral.
AACGAACGCUGGCGGCAUGCCUAACACAUGCAAGUCGAACGAGACCUUCGGGUCUAGUGGCGCACGGGUGCGUAACGCGUGGGAACCUGCCCUUAGGUUCGGAAUAACUCCCCGAAAGGGGUGCUAAUACCGGAUAAUGUCUUCGGACCAAAGAUUUAUCGCCUUUGGAUGAGCCCGCGUUGGAUUAGCUAGUUGGUAGGGUAAAAGCCUACCAAGGCGACGAUCCAUAGCUGGUCUGAGAGGAUGAUCAGCCACACUGGGACUGAGACACGGCCCAGACUCCUACGGGAGGCAGCAGUGGGGAAUAUUGGACAAUGGGCGAAAGCCUGAUCCAGCAAUGCCGCGUGAGUGAUGAAGGCCUUAGGGUUGUAAAGCUCUUUUACCCGGGAUGAUAAUGACAGUACCGGGAGAAUAAGCUCCGACUAACUCCGUG